AAAAAGCUCGUAGUUGAACGUUCGGGUUCCGCGGGACGGGGCCGCCCCGCGAGGGACGGCGCCGCCCCGGGGCUCGUGAUAUCUUAUCUCGCCGCCCGUCGCGAGGCGGACGGAGGGAUGGAUGAGGUUACCUGGAAAAAAUCGGGGCGAUCUAGGCGGGCGAACCUCGCCAACGAACGAUCGGACAUGGGAUAACGGAAGAGGGCGUCGGCUCGACUUCGUCGGUUCCUCGGGCCGAGGCACGUACGGUGAAUAGGGACGGUCGGGGCCGCCCGUACCGGGUCGUGAGAGGUGAAAUUCUAGGAUCGACCCGAGACGAACUGCCGCGAAAGCAUUCGGCAAGGACGCUUUCAUUAAUCAAGAACGAAAGUCGGGGGAUCGAAGACGAUCAGAUACCGUCGUAGUCCCGACCGUAAACGAUGCCGACCGAGGGCCCGGAGGAGUUACGUACGACCCUCCGGGCCCUCCCGCGAGAAAUCAGGAGUAUUCGGGUUCCGGGGG
Molecule: ribosomal RNA, 501 nt
Filed under: uncultured eukaryote
Lineage: Eukaryota
Description: bacterial SSU rRNA
Rfam family: Eukaryotic small subunit ribosomal RNA
Source: RNAcentral